UCGCUCCUACCGAUUGAAUGAUCCGGUGAAGUCUUUGGACCGUUUCGCUUUGGUGGGCAACUGCCGAUUCGUUGCGGGAAGUUGAUUAAACCUUAUCAUUUAGAGGAAGGAG
RNAcentral lists this ribosomal RNA (112 nucleotides) under uncultured eukaryote. Its description in RNAcentral is "partial small subunit ribosomal RNA". It matches the Rfam family "Eukaryotic small subunit ribosomal RNA", at positions 1676 to 1785 of the family's 1831-position model. The record is from RNAcentral.